AGUGAACGCUGGCGGUAGGCCUAACACAUGCAAGUCGAACGGCAGCACAGUAAGAGCUUGCUCUUACGGGUGGCGAGUGGCGGACGGGUGAGGAAUACAUCGGAAUCUACUUUUUCGUGGGGGAUAACGUAGGGAAACUUACGCUAAUACCGCAUACGACCUACGGGUGAAAGCAGGGGAUCUUCGGACCUUGCGCGAUUGAAUGAGCCGAUGUCGGAUUAGCUAGUUGGCCGGGUAAAGGCCCACCAAGUGGAGGAUCCGUGGCUGGUCGGAGAGAAUGAUCAGCGACACUGGAACUGAGACACGGUCCAGACUCCUACGGGAGGCAGCAGUGGGGAAUAUUGGACAAUGGGCGCAAGCCUGAUCCAGCCAUACCGCGUGGGUGAAGAAGGCCUUCGGGUUGUAAAGCCCUUUUGUUGGGAAAGAAAAGCAGCAGGUUAAUACCCCGCUGUUCUGACGGUACCCAAAGAAUAAGCACCGGCUAACUUCGUG
RNAcentral lists this ribosomal RNA (492 nucleotides) under uncultured bacterium. Its description in RNAcentral is "partial 16S ribosomal RNA". It matches the Rfam family "Bacterial small subunit ribosomal RNA", at positions 29 to 507 of the family's 1533-position model. The record is from RNAcentral.